This 255-nucleotide ribosomal RNA is filed under the name uncultured bacterium. RNAcentral's name for it is "partial 16S ribosomal RNA". It matches the Rfam family "Bacterial small subunit ribosomal RNA", at positions 524 to 777 of the family's 1533-position model. The record is from RNAcentral.
UACGUAGGGGGCGAAGCGUUGUCCGGAUUUAUUGGGCGUAAAGAGCUCGUAGGCGGCUAUUCGCGUCGGGUGUGAAAGCUCAAGGCUCAACCUUGAGAGGCCAUUCGAUACGGGAUAGCUAGAGGUAGGUAGGGGAGAUCGGAAUUCCUGGUGUAGCGGUGAAAUGCGCAGAUAUCAGGAGGAACACCGAUGGCGAAGGCAGAUCUCUGGGCCUUACCUGACGCUGAGGAGCGAAAGCUGGGGGAGCGAACAGGA